RNAcentral lists this ribosomal RNA (2440 nucleotides) under Gossypium barbadense (sea-island cotton). RNAcentral describes it as "bacterial LSU rRNA". The stretch from base 416 to 2150 matches the Rfam family "Bacterial large subunit ribosomal RNA". Lineage: Eukaryota; Viridiplantae; Streptophyta; Magnoliopsida; Malvales; Malvaceae. The record is from RNAcentral.
AAAAAGUGAAAUUAUGAAAUAGUAGAAUUAAUAGCAAAAUAUUUUUGGACAGAAACAAUUACAUGACUUUGAAAAAUCACCAAAAAUGGUGGAAAUCGAAUUAGAGAGUGAAUAAAAUAUGAAAUGAAAGGCUAAUGAGUCUAUUUUUACAUAAAAGAAACAGAGUAAGCAAAAGAGUUAUAUAUUUUGAGAUAUUUUAAGUUUAGUGAGAUAGAGUCAGAAUGAAUUUGGAAUAUCCUGUUCUAACUUUGGAAAAUUGUUAAAAAUUGUACAAAAAUAAUUACGGGAUAAACUUUAUAUUUUUAGAACCCUGAAUGAGUCUAUUUUCAAGUGAAAUAAACGUAAGUACCAUCCAAAUUCUGUAAAAUGAGAUAAUUAAUUUUUAGUGAAGAGAUGAGCAAUGAAAUAGGGGAAAAUUUAAAGAAUAAACUGUACUUAUUGGCUAAGCCAAAAAUUCUAAAAAUUUUAUAGUAAUGCCUUGUACCCUAUUUCGGCGUCGAAUACGGGUAAGGGGUGUUACAAUGUGACAUCGUCAGAUUCGGCCAUAACGUUUAGGUCGGGUUUGGGGUGCUACAACGAGAGCGGGACCAAAUUGAGGCAAACUCUGAAUACUAGAUAUGACCUCAAAAUAAUAGAGGUCGAGGUCGGCCAAUGAGACGGUGGGGGAUAAGCUUCAUCGUCGAGAGGGAAACAACCCCGAUCACCAGCUAAAGCCUCUAAAUGACUGCUCAAUAAUAAAAGAGGUAGGGGUGCAUGAGCGAAAGUAGACGAAGUGGAAGUAAGAAUGUUGGAUUGAGUAAUGCAAACAUUGGUGAGAAUUCAAUGCCCCGAAAACCCAAGGUUUCUUUCUCAACGUUCGUCCAUGGAAGGUGAGUUAGGGCCAAAUAUCAUGUUGAAAGGCGUAGUUGAUGGACAACAGGUGAAUAUUUCUAUACUACCCCUUGUUGGUCCCGAGGGAUGGAGAAGGCUAGGUUAGCCGAAAGAUGGUUAUCGAUUCAAGGACGCAAGAUGCCCCUACUUUUUCAAGGUAAGAAGGGGUAGAGAAAAUGCCCUGAGCCAAUGUUCAAGUACCAAGUGUUACGGCGUUGAAGUAACCCAUGCUAUACUCCUAGAAAAAGCUCAAACGACCUUCAACAAAAGGUUACAUGUACCCAAAACUGACAUAGGUGGGUAGGUAGAGAAUACCUAAGGGCGCGAGAUAACUCUCUCUAAGGAACUUGACAAAAUAGCCCUGUAACUUUGGGAGAAAGGGUACCUCCUCACAAAAGGGGUCACAGUGACCAGGCUUGGGCAACUGUUUACCAAAAACACAAGUCUCUAGGAAGUCGUAAGACCAUGUAUGGGGGCUUACGCCUUCCCAGUACUGGAAGGUCAAGGAAGUUAGUGACCUGAUGACAGGGGAGCCGGUGACCAAAGUCUUGGUGAACAACAGUCGUAACUAUAACGAUCCUAAGGUAGCGAAAUUUCUUGUCGGGUAAGUUCUGACCCGCACGAAAGGCGUAACGAUCUAGGCACUGUCUCGAAAAGAGGCUUAGUGAACUAAACAUGUUUAUGAAGAUGCAGACUACUCGCAGUGGACAGAAAGACCCUAUGAAGCUUCACUGUUCCUUGGGAUUGGCUUUGAGCUUUUCCGACACAGCUUACGUAGAAGGCGAAGAAGGUCUCCUUCCAGGGGGCUCGAGCCAUCACUGAGAUACGACUCUAAAAGAGCUAGAAUUAUAACCAUUUUUCAGGACCUACGAGCCAAGGGACAGUCUUAAGUAGACAGUUUUUAUGGGGUGUAGGCUUCCCGAAAGGUAACAGAUGCGUGCAAAGGUUUCCUCGGGCCAGACGGAGAUUGGCCAUUGAGUACAAAGGCAGAAGGGAGCUUGAUUGCAAGAACCACUCGUCAAGCAGGGGAGAAAGUCAGCCUUAGUGAUCUGACAGUGCCGAGUGGAUGGGUCGUCACUCAACGGAUAAAAGUUACUUUAGGGAUAACAGGCUGAUCUUCCCCAAGAGCUCACAUCGACGGAAGGUUGGCACCUCAAUGUCUGUUCUUCACCACUUGGGGCUGUAGUAUAUUCCAAGGGUUGGGUUGUUCGCCCAUUAAGAGUUUAAAAUGUUUUAUUUUGUUAGAGUUUAAUGUUGUACAAAGUUUUGUCUUUAAUUUUUAAAAAUUAAGUGUAGCCUUUAAUCUUAUGUUGUUAGUUAAAAGAGUAAGCAAUCCCACAUUAUCUAGGAACAAGCUGUAAAUGGAUUAUGAGUCAAUAUAUACUCAUAUCCCACAUCCCACAUUGCUUAAGAAAACAAAGGAAAUGGGACCUAGGGUCUAUAUAAAGACUUGUUUUUGUAAGUUUUGUUUUCAUAAGAAGUGGCACCAAAAAAAAAUUUAAAAAAAUAUUGGGCAGAAAACGCUUCUAGCUAGAGCAUUUCCUUCAAAUCACCUGAAAAUGCUUUUAGU